GUCGGUCUGGCUGAAGGGGGUGGCCCGGUCGUUCGUGACGACCGCGGACGAACUCGCGGGAUCCUUCGCGGGGUCGAGG
This 79-nucleotide transfer RNA is filed under the name Streptomyces lomondensis. Its description in RNAcentral is "tRNA-Thr". The record is from RNAcentral. Lineage: Bacteria; Bacillati; Actinomycetota; Actinomycetes; Kitasatosporales; Streptomycetaceae.